Molecule: ribosomal RNA, 274 nt
Filed under: Russula font-queri
Lineage: Eukaryota; Fungi; Basidiomycota; Agaricomycetes; Russulales; Russulaceae
Description: partial large subunit ribosomal RNA
Source: RNAcentral
ACGCUUGAAGUCAGUCGCGUCGACCGAGACUCAGCCUCGCCUCGGCUUGGUGUACUUCUCGGCCGACGGGUCAGCAUCGAUUUUGCCUCUUGGACAAUGGCGGGGGAAACGUGACACCUUUACGGUGUGUUAUAGUCUCUCGUCGCAUGCAAGGGUCGGGAUCGAGGAACUCAGCACGCGCCUUUGGGCGUCGGGGCCUUUGCCCACGAUACGUGCUUAGGAUGUUGGCGUAAUGGCUUUAAACGACCCGUCUUGAAACACGGACCAAGGAGUC